GGGCGGUUAGCUCAGUGGUUUAGAGCGCUGCGUUGACAUCGCAGAGGUCACAAGUUCGACUCUUGUACCGCCCACCA
This 77-nucleotide transfer RNA is filed under the name Chloroflexota bacterium. RNAcentral describes it as "Chloroflexi bacterium tRNA-Val". It matches the Rfam family "tRNA". Rfam says of the family: Transfer RNA (tRNA) molecules are approximately 80 nucleotides in length. RNAcentral also lists the same sequence under 2 other names. The record is from RNAcentral. Lineage: Bacteria; Bacillati; Chloroflexota.